UUUUUUUGUCCUUAAAGGGUUAAAUUUGUUUAAAAAAUCUGUGUCUUGGUCAGAUUUUGACACAGGUCAGUUUUCUGACACGUCUAGUCAAGACGACAUGUCAUCUGUGUGUGAGCCAGCUGAAGAAAGAAACUGUGCUUCCUCUGCAACUCCAAAUGUGGAGGAGGACUGGGUACCUCCACAGUUAGCCGAGCCCAACAUCCCCC
Pelobates cultripes (western spadefoot toad) is the source of this 206-nucleotide non-coding RNA. The record is from the annotation of a GenBank genome assembly. NCBI's taxonomy places the organism in Eukaryota, Metazoa, Chordata, Amphibia, Anura, Pelobatidae.